Molecule: unclassified non-coding RNA, 274 nt
Filed under: plant metagenome
Description: partial contains small subunit ribosomal RNA, internal transcribed spacer 1, and 5.8S ribosomal RNA
Source: RNAcentral
GUAGGUGAACCUGCGGAAGGAUCAUUAGUGUAUAAUAGGGUGCCGAGGGCUUUCAAUACGCCGAGAGGCCGGACACGCACUAUCCACCCCGCGCACAUUCCGCCGAACCGUAAGCUUGCGACCUGCUCUCGACGAUGUUUGGCGGUUUCAUGGUAAACUAAUAUUUUAAGAAAAACUAAGAAUGAAAACAAGAAAGUAAUUUUUAACUUUGCGAUCACGCAAUCAAUAAAACUUUCAACAACGAACCUCUUGGCAGUCGCAUCGACUAAGAACC